GGAGGGUCACUACAGUAAUUACACAUGCGGAUAUCUGCAUGUGUAAUUACUACAGUGAUUACGUAUGCAGAUAUCUGCAUGUGCAAUUACUGUAGUGACCCUCC
Molecule: non-coding RNA, 104 nt
Organism: Podarcis lilfordi (Lilford's wall lizard)
Lineage: Eukaryota; Metazoa; Chordata; Lepidosauria; Squamata; Lacertidae
Source: the annotation of a GenBank genome assembly